GACGAACGCUGGCGGCGUGCUUAACACAUGCAAGUCGAACGGAAAGGCCCUGCUUGCAGGGUACUCGAGUGGCGAACGGGUGAGUAACACGUGGGUGAUCUGCCCUGCACUUCGGGAUAAGCCUGGGAAACUGGGUCUAAUACCGGAUAGGAGCCAUUUUUAGUGUGAUGGUUGGAAAGUUUUUUCGGUGUAGGAUGAGCUCGCGUCCUAUCAGCUUGUUGGUGGGGUAAUGGCCUACCAAGGCGGCGACGGGUAGCCGGCCUGGGAGGGUGGAAGGCCACAUUGGGACUGAGAUACGGCCCAGAGUCCUACGGGAGGCAGCAGUGGGGAAUAUUGCACAAUGGGCGCAAGACUGAUGCAGCGACGCCGCGUGGGGGAUGACGGCCUUCGGGUUGUAAACUCCUUUCGCUAGGGACGAAGCUUUUGUGACGGUACCUAGAUAAGAAGCACCGGCUAACUACGUG
RNAcentral lists this ribosomal RNA (464 nucleotides) under uncultured bacterium. Its description in RNAcentral is "partial 16S ribosomal RNA". It matches the Rfam family "Bacterial small subunit ribosomal RNA", at positions 28 to 507 of the family's 1533-position model. The record is from RNAcentral.